This 468-nucleotide ribosomal RNA is filed under the name uncultured Syntrophomonas sp. Its description in RNAcentral is "bacterial SSU rRNA". It matches the Rfam family "Bacterial small subunit ribosomal RNA", at positions 335 to 795 of the family's 1533-position model. The record is from RNAcentral. Lineage: Bacteria; Bacillati; Bacillota; Clostridia; Eubacteriales; Syntrophomonadaceae.
UGCCUACGGGUGGCUGCAGUGGGGAAUAUUGCGCAAUGGGGGAAACCCUGACGCAGCGACGCCGCGUGAGCGAUGAAGGCUUUAGGGUCGUAAAGCUCUUUUGUAAGGGAAGAAUGUCGGGGGAGAUAAUACCUUUCUCGAAUGACGGUACCUUACGAAUAAGCCCCGGCUAACUACGUGCCAGCAGCCGCGGUAAGACGUAGGGGGCGAGCGUUGUCCGGAAUUACUGGGCGUAAAGAGCACGUAGGCGGAUAUUUAAGUCAGGUGUGAAAGACCGCAGCUCAACUGCGGGUUGGCACUUGAAACUGGGUAUCUUGAGGGCAGGAGAGGACAGUGGAAUUCCAGGUGUAGCGGUGAAAUGCGUAGAAAUCUGGAGGAACACCAGUGGCGAAGGCGACUGUCUGGACUGACCCUGACGCUGAGGUGCGAAAGCGUGGGUAGCAAACAGGAUUAGAUACCCUAGUAGUC